AGCCGGCAUGCGAUCUCUGGUCAA
RNAcentral lists this non-coding RNA (24 nucleotides) under Arabidopsis thaliana (thale cress). The record is from RNAcentral. Lineage: Eukaryota; Viridiplantae; Streptophyta; Magnoliopsida; Brassicales; Brassicaceae.